UCUAUAUUAUCUAAAUAAAAUCUUUUAUAAAUAAAAUUUUAUUUAUUUUAUCUCGAAUAAAAUGAUCUUAAAGUAAAUGUUAUAUUCUGUGUUAAAAUCAAUCCAAAAAUAUAUAUCAUAAACAGUAUUUUUAAAAUUCGGUCAAAUUGACCCUUCAUGGGAGUUCUAGGGUGUAACAAACUCUGGGAGUCCUAGUGUUAAACUCAUGUUAAAUAAGUGAGUUAAAAGAGGAACUAAAAGAUGAGAACAGCCUUUCAAUAUGAAAUUUGGUAUCCCGUCGGGACCCAUUGACAUAGAUGUUUUUAGAGUCUUUAUGCCCCAAAGUACUAAACUUUCAGAUAUUAUAGGAGCAGAAAUUGUGUCAUGUGAUACAGAUGAACAGGAAACAUUGUUUGUGUGAGUAGGUGGCACAUAAACACUAGAAAAAUAAUCCGCAAGCGUAUUAGAAAGUAUUUUAGGAUCAUUGGAAACACUACCGUUAACUUCAAGAGAUAGAUGAUCAUAAUAUCCAUGUUUCAUUAUUUUUACAAGGCGCCAGAAUUUCAUCAGGUUAUUCUUGAUAUUAUUAUUAAUUGCUCUUAACCAAUUGAUUUUAUCACUUUUGAUUAAGUGCUUGGCCUGUUUACGUAAAAAUUAAAAUUUAGAGAAAUACAAUGAAUUACAGUUUCUUUUAUAAAGUUUGUGAACAUGCUUCUUGGACUUCAGAGCUUGAAUUAGAUCUUUUGAAAACCAGAUUGGGUAGGAGGAAACCUUUCUUGUAAAAGUAGGAAUGAAGGCGUUCAUAUUUGUGCAUAUACAAGAAUUAAGUUCAUCAACAAGAUUAUUAACAUCAGAUGAUUUAAAGAAAUUAGACCAAUCAUGACAUCUAAUACCAUUAUAAAGACCAGCAUAAUCACCAUUUUUGAACAAUUUAAAAUUGACAGAAGAAUUGGUCACAUGAGAGAGACUAUCUAAUGUUAAUUUGAUAUUUAAGGCUGGGUGAUAUAGGUCUUCCUUAACAAGAGCUUCAUCGGCCUUAGUUAUUAAACACUGAGAAACAUUGCUGAAACAAAGGUCUAAAAGAUUUUUGGAUGAUUGAGUUUUAUUGUAUUGUGUUAAACCAAGACUAAAAAUAAAGUUUAUCAGGUAUUGUGCCUUGUUUUUAAUAUGCGUGUGUAAAAUCUGGGUAGCUUGUUUAUUGGUUCAGUCAACUCCAGGUGCUAUAAGUACACAACCACCACGUUAUUUCAAUGUCAGUAAUUCGUUUCUGUCACUUCUAUAAAUGUGAUAUUGGUCAGUAAAAUAGUAAGAGUUAAUACUAAAUUUGUUGAACCAAGUUUCUGUAAGGCAGAUAAUAUCUUUUUGACAACUGAUACAAUUAUCAAAAAAUUCAAUAGAUUUAGUUCUAAGGCCUCUAACGUUUUGAUAAAGAACUUCACGGUCAAUGGAAAUACAAGACAUGGACGACACUUAUGAUGCUCCUCCAGGCACCUGGAAAGAGGUCGAAGCAGUCACAGGUUUGGGACUGGCCCUACCUUAACACCGGAAUUUUCAGACGUAGACUCAUUGCCAGCAAUUUGUUCAGGAUGUCAUUUCCCGUAGAAUGGGCUAAUUAGGCAACCACUCGGCCAAAACACUAUGUUGUUAAUUCGAGUGAAAUCGUCUUCCAGAACCGAAAUGUGAAAGGAGGCAUAUGUGUUAAAUUUUGUUUUUAGUUUAGCUACUUUAACAUGUGAUAGAUUGAGUUCACUGGAGAUAUAGUCCAUUAUUUCAUGCUCCUGAACGGUCGGAUCAAAACGGGUAACAAACAAGGCUUUUGUUUUUUUUAAACGGGUUUACCAACGGUUUUGAGGGUACUAAUGUUUCUUAUGCCAAUUUGCAUAGUCGUUCUUUUGCGAUCCUGUUCGCGGUUGGGUGCAGAGAAAACGUUGAUUGCGGGUUUUCGUUCACGUUGCACCACAGUAAAUCCGUCUUCGUCAGCGUGUUGGAUGGUGUUGUUUACACACGCGACACCGCGUUCUUCCUGCUGCGUCGAAUGUAGGUCAGGAGACGGACUACCGUUACUCGAGACAACAGACAUUGCAAAAUGUUCACUCUUCUUGCCGCUGGAGGGUUUCUUAACAACUUGACUGUAGGAUUUAAAAUUGUAAUUUUUAAUUUUCUUGAUAAAUAGGAGCUCUUUUUUUAUUUCAGCUAUUUCUUGUUUUAUUUCAGCCGUUUCAGUGCGUGAGUCAAUGAGCAGGGUUUUGAGUACUGCAUUUUCACUCCUUAAUUCGUCCACCUUAUCGCAAAGAGACUUCACCCUAUUUACAAGUUUAUCCAUGUUAGAAAUUUUCAACUUCGCUAUUUUAAACGUCUGCUGUUCCUGAUGUUCAUUAGUUGCAGAUGGUGUUUUUUUCGUAGGAGACCUAAACAUUUUUACGGAAUCUACUUGAACUAUUUCACCAAUUGAAACAUUGCAAAAUGGUAAGGGAAACCCCAGAAAAUCAGAUUGAUCACAAAGCGAAGAAUUAAUGAUGGUAAAUCACCGGGGUAAUGACAGACGUCAACAACAAGCACAUUAAGAUAGCGGAGCGCGCACGAAACACUACUGUCGCCUUUGAAAUCCCGGCCCUCAACAUGACGUAGCCACUUUUUCCAGUCAGGAAACAGUGAUCCAUCUAGCCAAGCAGGAUUGAAUUAAGACAUCGUGAAUGUCACACAAUUAUCCACUCAGACUAUCAAGAAUAGGCCUAGGCCUAAUGUAGAGUAGCAAAACACAUUCGAUACUGAAUCGCUUAGUCUCACAAGUUUCACCAUGUUUUCAUUGCACAAUUAAGGAAACUGUGCUAGCACACACCCGUGAACGUAAACUAUAUUUCUAAUGAGAGGACCGCCGUUGAUUUCUUCUGAAAAAAAAACUCUUCUCACAAUUGACUAAAAAAUUUCAAAUAUAUUUAACUGCUUCUGUAGAACUCUUGACUCAGAAUAACACAAUGUGUAACUAUUUUUGCGGUGUUUUUGUUGUGUUUGAUAGGCAAAAAUCUCGUCAUGAAACCAUAAUAUUACCAACUACACAAAUUACAGUGAUACAAAAACACCACCACAGCUGCAACACUUUUAAAAAAAUACAUCUAAAUAAAUGAAAAUAUGUUCACUAAACAAUCUUCAAAAAGUUUCCAGCCUACCGGAUACUUCAAAGUUAUGACACAAACGGCCAAACGUAUACGAACUACGGUGCCGCAGUUUUCUACAACUGGCUUGGCGCAGCUCGCCACGGUCCGGGGCCGCCUAGCAUGAAAUUCUGCACGUCACAGCUGUAUGGUGAACCAAACUUUCCCGGGGCUCGUGGCUUAUCUAUUACUUUGAUUUACAUGUACAACCCGCACCCCAACUUUCCGAUUUUGUUUUUAAAAAAAAAUGUGCUUGUGAUACAUGUAUUAAUCAAUAUAUAUAAAUAUAUAUAUGCACACACACUGUGAUUGCCACACAACAAAUUUCCCUGAGAUUUCCCUGUGUUUUUGACCCAUUUCAAUUUCCCUGAAUUUUCCCUGUUUUCCCGGUCGUUGGGAACCCUGACUUGUUUGCCCAAUUAGGCCCAUCUCGAUGUAUAACAAAGUGUUCAGUAAUCUGUUGAUUAUGUAACAACAUAUUAAUUUGAGUUUUUUUUUUAAAUUAGGAAAUUGUAAUAGAAGCUUCAUGCUGGGACCAUUUACGCAAGGAAGAUAACUACAAAACUGUGGAACUGCAAGAAACAGAUGACUGGUCAUGAUACAAGCCAUCCAUGCUGAGAAAAGCUAAAAAUAUCAAACUGAGGGAGAAAAUUGCUGCAUCUAAUGAUGAAGCUGAAUGUUUAACUCCAAAUGCGUCAAGAAGUAUGCAGAGGAAACGACCUGCAUUCCAUGACCGCCCAGUAUCAAUGAACGGGGAACGGCUCAGCGGUUGGGCAACGGAAUAAAGAAACCUUGCACGAUGUCAGCAAGAGCUACUCCCAAAAGAGUUUGAGGCCAGAGAAAAGAGGGAGGAGGAGCUUCACAACAUUGAAGUGGAGAUAAAGAAGAAAAUAAAGAAACUUGAGCUUGACAUAAAGAUAAUGAAACAAACUUUACGGGAAAUAGAAGAUAAGCACAAAUGUUAAUUUUAUUUUCUACUGUCCAUACAGUACUCUCUUAUGACAGUCUUCAGUUUAUGUAAAUAUAUUGUAUGUAUUUUGCCCAUUAAUUAAAAUAUAAGGUUAUAAGUGUAUUUUCUUUCUUUUUAUCAUUGGAUGAAAUAGAUCAGUGGUAGUCACUGCAGAAAAUGAAAUGGAUAUACAUAGUAGAAGUGUGGUGACCUAAACACAAUAUGUAAAUUCUCCAAUGCAUUUACACUUGCUACUCUUGGAGGCCAUUUGGAUUUCCAUUAUUAGGACUGUUAAAAAGUAGCUAUUGUAUACACAGUUAAGUGUAGUGGUGUACAUGUUUUCUGAUCAAA
This is a long non-coding RNA of Bacillus rossius redtenbacheri, 4431 nucleotides long. RefSeq lists it as uncharacterized. NCBI's taxonomy places the organism in Eukaryota, Metazoa, Arthropoda, Insecta, Phasmatodea, Bacillidae. The record is from RefSeq and is a predicted model, not a curated record. The transcript is spliced from 3 exons.